GCAUUUGUUGAGCUCUCAACAACUAGGUCGGUGUUGUCUUUUAGGAGAUCGAGGCUAUGCCCUUAGACAAUAUUUGCUGACACCAUUAGAUCCUCCAACAGAUGCUGAAAAACUUUAUAAUGAGAGUCAGAUAAGAACUAGGAAUGUUGUGGAGGGAACCUUUGGUGUUUGGAAGAGGCGAUUUCCCUGUAUUGGAUCUCAACUUAGAGUAAAACUAAAAAACGUACAGGCUAUAAUUAUUCUGAAGCUGAGCAGUAGUAUAGAGGAG
RNAcentral lists this unclassified non-coding RNA (268 nucleotides) under Melitaea cinxia (Glanville fritillary). RNAcentral's name for it is "misc RNA ENSMCXG00005003242.1". Lineage: Eukaryota; Metazoa; Arthropoda; Insecta; Lepidoptera; Nymphalidae. The record is from RNAcentral.